UUCGCGGACAAGGACCCUUUCUUCGAACUCCUCUUCUUACUCGACAUCUCGUGUUUUUCUUUUUAAUCAAGAAGGAAAUGAUGGAGACAAAGACAAAGAAGAAAACUUUUCAAGAAAACCUCUCUAUGAGAAUGAGUAAGUGUAAAGAUUGUGAGGAAAUUACCUCCCUUCUUAUAGGCAUGAGAAAUUACUAUUUACUUUCGGAUUUUUGGACACGAACUUCGCCCAAAUACACCAAUCUCGUCAACUCGCCAUACCGCGCAUUGGGAUCUCACUAGAAAUCCACGCUCCCAAUGAGCUGGGGGGCUAACUGUUGGGGUCGAAAACGGUUACGACGAAGUUAACGUCCAAAUCCCUGAAGAAGAAAACAAAAAACCUUCCUCGACAAACACUUUUUCGAAAUAACCAAAGGCACCUAAGACAUGACUCGAGUCCCAACUUACGAUUUCUUAACC
Molecule: long non-coding RNA, 455 nt
Filed under: Brassica napus (rape)
Lineage: Eukaryota; Viridiplantae; Streptophyta; Magnoliopsida; Brassicales; Brassicaceae
Description: long non-coding RNA (BNAP_LNC024991)
Source: RNAcentral